Asparagus officinalis (garden asparagus) is the source of this 1623-nucleotide RNA transcript. RefSeq lists it as uncharacterized. NCBI's taxonomy places the organism in Eukaryota, Viridiplantae, Streptophyta, Magnoliopsida, Asparagales, Asparagaceae. The transcript is spliced from 3 exons. The record is from RefSeq and is a predicted model, not a curated record.
AGAUGACUUGUUAAGGAAAAUCUUUCACAAAAUAAGAUGUUUGGGAAAAGAUGAACCCAACUAUCGAUGUGUAUUUUCAAAGUUGUUCCAUGAUGGUCUAUUUUUCAAUGAUCAGAUAAUUGAUGGGGAUUCAAAAUUCCCACAAUAAUAACUUUUAGCAUGCCACAUGUCAUAUAUUACACUUACAGAUUUAUGUUUUGUUCUAUUUUGCAAUGAUCAGAUGAUUGAUGAUGGAUGUCAUGGACACCAGUGCUGUUCUUAAUUUUCUUUGACUUUUCCUUUAUUUAUCUUGGUUUUCAUUUUGCAUCUCAUCUGACUUCCUAAAUUUCCAUAUGGUGUGGGUAUCUUUUGGAUUUCUUUGUUGUGAAUUUUAUACGUUCGCCCUAUUCCUGCUUUGUUUCUCAGCUGCAAUUUAUGGAAGUUGGUGUCUGAAAUUUCUCUCGCUUCAGUUUCAUCAUGGCUGAUAACAAAAUCAUGAGAUCCCAGGGCUAGCUACAUCCCUGACGACAUCAUAUUCAACAACAUCCUCCCACGUCUUCACUGCAAAUCUCUCCGCCAGUUGAAAUCUGCAUGCAAGAAGUGGUACAGUGUGAUCGAGCAAGUCCUGUGCCGUAGAUCCCUCGCAUCAGGGCAUAUCUUUGUCAGUUGUUCACGUCUAGUAUUCUUGAGCGUGCUCCACGAUGCGAUUCAAAUCCGUGAUCCAACGGUCUCCUUUGCCUUCGCCUUGAGAAGUGUCUGUAUGUAUGCGAUCCAAAACGAGACAAGACCGCAGAAUUCCCCAUAGCAGGAAUAAAGGGUCGGUUGGUUUGAUAUUUGAGCCAUCAACCUCUCCUGACCAGUAUAAGCUAGUCUGUGCUAUCAACAAAGCGCGGGGGAGAAGACGGCAUCAACAAAGGACAUUUCGGUUCGAAGUGUUCUCCUCCUGCAAUAAGAAACAGGUAAGAUCGGACAAGGAAGUGAGCAUCCCUUGCACCGGUUUGCAUCAGCCUCCCAAAUCCUCAUCCGCAAAAGGAAUUGUGUUUUGGAAUUGGACAUGCGAACUAUGGCUGGAGACUCCCCAAGAGAAAAGAGAUGAUCUUUUCAAGGAAGAGGUGUUCUCAGGGAUCGAUAAAAAAUGGUGGGACGACCUCUGCAAGUUUUUUUCUUCUAAUAGGAAGCAUGCGGAGGCAAAAAGAAAUAAAGAUAAUCUGGAGUGAAAGAAGCGAGGUCAAGCAACCUAUACGGGUGGCUCGAGGAGCAUGGUUCGGGCAAAACAGAGAGUGGUUGAUCAUCAUACCGCUCAUCCACCUUCUGUUAUUCCAGCUACUCAAUCGGCUUUUGCUCAGCCUUCUCUGGAUGCUCAGGGUUCUACUUUUGCUGCUCAGCAUUCUCCUCAGGAUAUUUCAGCACAAAAUUUUCUUGCAAGUCGACCGGGGGGCUGGUUAAGGGGCUUAACAUAGGAGGGCUAUGGCGAAGAGGACAUCCGCAAGGCUUUUAUCAAUUUUCUUCGAUUGAGGCAGCAGUGACUUGCACUUUUUAGAUAUUUGAGAUAUUGUAUUUUGGAUACUCCUUAUGUUUGUGAUUUAGUUGUUUAUAAAUUACAACUCGCAUUUCAUUUUAGCAAAUUUUUGUUUUGGCUUAUAA